This 327-nucleotide ribosomal RNA is filed under the name uncultured eukaryote. RNAcentral describes it as "partial 18S ribosomal RNA". It matches the Rfam family "Eukaryotic small subunit ribosomal RNA", at positions 1470 to 1796 of the family's 1831-position model. The record is from RNAcentral.
CCCUUAGAUGUUCUGGGCCGCACGCGCGCUACACUGACGAAUGCAACGAGCUUAUAACCUUGGCCGAAAGGUCUGGGUAAUCUCCAAAUUUCGUCGUGAUGGGGAUAGAUUAUUGCAAUUAUUAAUCUUCAACGAGGAAUGCCUAGUAAGCGCAAGUCAUCAGCUCGCGUUGAUUACGUCCCUGCCCUUUGUACACACCGCCCGUCGCUCCUACCGAUUGAAUGGUCCGGUGAAGCGUUCGGACCGUGGCCUUUGGACGGUUCGCCGUCUGUUGGCUGCGGGAAGUUCGUUAAACCUUAUCAUUUAGAGGAAGGAGAANUCGUANCA